CAUGUCAUGCUUGAGCUGGCUUACUGCCCGCAUGUUAAAGCCAAGGAACACAACAGGUUUGCGGGUGACAAAGUCCCGGUCACAUGAGCGCCGAUGGUUGG
Sinocyclocheilus anshuiensis is the source of this 101-nucleotide long non-coding RNA. RefSeq lists it as uncharacterized. NCBI's taxonomy places the organism in Eukaryota, Metazoa, Chordata, Actinopteri, Cypriniformes, Cyprinidae. The transcript has 2 exons. The record is from RefSeq and is a predicted model, not a curated record.